UGGGUUUCUUGAUGACUGGGACCUUGACAUUAUAUUAAUAUGGUUCGUUGUCGAUGAAACCUUGA
This is a non-coding RNA of Acyrthosiphon pisum (pea aphid), 65 nucleotides long. NCBI's taxonomy places the organism in Eukaryota, Metazoa, Arthropoda, Insecta, Hemiptera, Aphididae. The record is from RefSeq and is marked provisional.